UGCCCCGAAUUAUCCGGGCUACACGCGGGCUACAAUGGUCAGGACAAUGGGUAUCGACACCGAGAGGUGGAGGCAAUCUCCUAAACCUGUCCUUAGUUCGGAUUGUGGGCUGCAACUCGCCCACAUGAAGCUGGAAUCCGUAGUAAUCGCGUUUCAAAUAGCGCGGUGAAUAUGUCCCUGCCGUCCUU
RNAcentral lists this ribosomal RNA (188 nucleotides) under uncultured Methanolinea sp. RNAcentral describes it as "partial 16S ribosomal RNA". It matches the Rfam family "Archaeal small subunit ribosomal RNA", at positions 1152 to 1334 of the family's 1478-position model. The record is from RNAcentral. Lineage: Archaea; Methanobacteriati; Methanobacteriota; Methanomicrobia; Methanomicrobiales; Methanoregulaceae.